UCUGCCGUAUCAACUUUCGAUGGUAGUGUAUCUGACUACCAUGGUGAUCACGCGUAACGGAGAAUAAGGGUUCGGCUCCGGAGAGUUCGCCUGAGAAAUCGCGAACACAUCUAAGGAAGGCAGCAGGCGCGAAAAUUACCCACUCUCAGCACGAGGAGGUAGUGACGAAAAAUAACGAGACCGUUCUCUUUGAGGCCGGUCAUCGGAAUGGGUACAAUUUAAACCCUUUAACGAGUAUCUAUGAGAGGGCAAGUCUGGUGCCAGCAGCCGCGGUAAUUCCAGCUCUCAAAGUGCAUAGAAUUAUUGCUGCGGUUAAAAAGCUCGUAGUUGGAUCUGUGCCAUAGGACUGGGUCCACUUUCGGGUGCGUACUCAGCUCCUAGGCUUUUUGAUGGUUUUCCCGUCGUAGCCUUCACUGGUUGCGGCGGGUGGCUGUCGAGUUUACUUUGAGAAAAUCAGAGUGCUCAACACAGGCGUAUCGCUUGAAUGAUUGUGCAUGGAAUAAUAGAAAAGGAUUUCGGUCCUCUUUUAUUGGUUUUGUGGACUGAGAUAAUGGUUAACAGGGACAAACGGGGGCAUUCGUAUCGCUGCGUGAGAGGUGAAAUUCUUGGACCGUAGCGAGACGCCCUACUGCGAAAGCAUUUGCCAAGAAUGUCUUCAUUAAUCAAGAACGAAAGUCAGAG
This is a ribosomal RNA of 681 nucleotides. It matches the Rfam family "Eukaryotic small subunit ribosomal RNA", at positions 306 to 995 of the family's 1831-position model.